Herpailurus yagouaroundi (jaguarundi) is the source of this 4177-nucleotide long non-coding RNA. RefSeq lists it as uncharacterized. The record is from RefSeq and is a predicted model, not a curated record. The transcript has 3 exons. Lineage: Eukaryota; Metazoa; Chordata; Mammalia; Carnivora; Felidae.
CAAAGGUAUACUGUAAGCUGUUGCCAAAGGCUCCUUGUAUUCACUUCAGCAGUGAACACAGCCCUUUAACAGCACCUUCAGUGUCCUGGGCUGCAAGGAGAGGGCCCCGUGGAAAACCCAAGUACCAGAACUCUGGCAAGGGUUAGAGAGACUCCUCACCUCCCCAGUUUCAAUCCUUGAAGGAAGCCUAUUUCACCCAUAUGCAUUUACAAGGAAGGUUCUAGACCUUUCUAAUGUUGGCUUGAGCAUGGCCCAGCAGUGCACAGGAAUUGUGGCAUUUUCUGAGAGAAGAGCGCCACCAUCAGGAAGAGAGUGUAGAGGCACCGGGGAAGGGCAGAAAUCCGAAAAGCUGGCUUCUAAUUUCAACGCCGGAAAGUGCAGGCAGGCCACUUAUUCCCUCUAACGUCUGGUUUCCCAAUUUCAAAAUACAAUAAUAAUGCAUUCUUGAAUUUAUGUCACAUAAACUAGCUAGUGUGAGCUAAUGAAGGCGACUACUUGGACAAGUUAAAAGUAUAUAAAUGUAGGCUACUGAUGUGACUAAAAUUACAGACCCUGGUUAUGUCUAAUGGACUACCUACAAGAUUAUGAAUGCCCAAAUACAGAUGGCAUAGAAAAAAAAAAUCACAAAAGGGACUGGGGUAUUUUCCUUUAUGACCUGAGCCUCUCAAGAUGCUUCCUGAGGAACAGAAUACACAUUCUGGGCUGUGUCUACUUCAUUAUUGUCUGUUUACCUGAAUUAUGGCAGCAUGACUGAUUGAGACGAGACAUAAUGUUAUUUAACUGUAAAUUUGUUGCACAACCUAUUGAACACGAAGUCAAAGUAAGUUAUGAUUGAACAAUGGAAAUAAAUAGCUAUAAAUACAAUGGCAAUGUGAAAAUCAAAAUAGAGCAGGCUAUUAUUUUGUUCUGACAUUAAUUGUAUAAUAAUACCUAUAUUUAAGGCUGUGACUCAAUUUUGUGUGUCAAGUCAGAAAAACAAUUGAUAUAAAAUAUCUGAAUUAGUAGUGGCUGCUUUUCAUUGUCACCAGCUUCUUCUGUCCAAGAAUCUCUGUAAAUAAAUUUUGAUGCGGCAAACAUGCCCAAGGUCGUAGGUUAGAUAAUGGUUAUCCAUAGCAAAUGGGUUUAAAUGCAUUCAGAAAAGGUCUAGCUGUUUGAACCUAAAAUAACCUAGUACUCUAAAGAUCACAAUUCUUUGUCCCUCCAACGCUGAGAUGCUAAAGUGCCACCAGCUUGGGUACUAAUUUAAGACAGAGUAAGACUGGCUUGAGGUGUGGGGAGAGCUAGGAAGAUGAGUAGGGUGGAGUCAACUAAAGGACAGUGGAGAGAAUGUGUUUGGGGGCUUAGUGGGUAAGAGAGGACCUGGAAGGAGAGUGUGGAAAGCAGCCAGAUAGAACGAACCUGAUUCUAUGUGGCCAUGAUGUGUGACACGUAGGAGGCAAAAUAGGGCAAUGGGUAAUCUCCUGCACUCGUUCUCCUAGUUAAACUAGUAAAAUUUACUCCCAUUAGAUGAGAUUAGUUAUCUGGAGAUGUUACCUUAAGGGGCAGGAUGAAAUCCAGGGUCUAGAAAUCUAAUCAAGGUGAGUGUGGCUGGAAUGUGGGAAGAUGGCUGAGGCUCAGUCAAUGGUGUUGAUAAACCCAAAGAGGGAAAUAAUGUGUUCUGCUGAAAUCUAUGCAUGGGUGGGAGCAGAGGGCGGAAUGGACAAAGAAGAAUCUGUCCCUGUGUCCUCGACGCUGUCCAGAGGAAGAAGUGGUCAGGUUUUUUGCCUUACUUGGCAGGUAAGUAUAGCUCCACUCUGGGCACUAUAUUUUAUAGCACGCGUAUGUCUCUAACUAUAUGGUGUGAUGACAUUAGAUCUUCCAUCUACCACCUUCUCUGGUCCCAUGAGCUCCUGACUCUAAAAUGCUUUGCCAACCUACUCUCCUGCAGAGAAGAAUGUGCAGGUAAUCAAGAAAAGCAAGUACCCAGGUUGGCAUGGCAGUACUCUAUCCCACUGUAAAUUAAUAAAUUACAUUGGCAAUCUGUUUUAUGCAGUAAUUUCCUCCAAGAUUUUUUUCAUUCCCUAGAACAGGUGUCCAAGUUACAUCCACCUAAGGAAACAUGGACAAAAUCAACUUUCUCAAUCUGCAAAACUGAGGUGAUCCUGGGUUAGGAUUGCAAAAAGAAAAUAAAAAAAGGAGGAGAAAGGAACGAGGAAGGUAUAUAAGACAUAUUAGAAAGACACAGUUAUCCCAUAUACUGGCACAAGAAAAAAAAAAAGAUACCAAUGAAACUGAGUACAGAAUAAUAGAACUGUAAUAGACUCCAUGUAUGUAGAAGAAUAUAUACAACAAAAUUAUAUAUUGAUAAAUAACAAGAACUAAGCACUUUCAGUAUGCCUAGGAACAUCUCAUUUCUUCUUCAUUGUGACUUGGAGUCCUAUUAAGUAGUUGCCUAUGUCACAAAGCCGGUGUGUGACAGAGCCGGGAUUCAGACCACUGCAGUCAGGCCCCAGAGCCCAUGCCCUUGACCAGUGCGCUGCGUGUUGUCUCAGGGCAUCACAAUCCUCAUGGACAGGAAUAAUGUUCUCUAGUGGCUGGUGCUGGGAAAACGUCUUUAUUACGUUAAGAAAAAAAAAAUCAAGUUGGAUUACUACAUCCCUAGAUUAUGCUAUAAACCACAAAGUAGAAUGUAAAUAGAUUAAGGACCUAAGUAUGAAAGAAAUUGGAGGGGUUAAUGAGAGGAAUUACCAACAAAGCAAAGUUGAAGUGAUGGGAAACUUCAAAGAAAGUGCUACUUGGUGUUCAUAAGAGUCAGACAAAGAACGGCUGGGUAGAGUCAUUUCUAAUCAUUCAAGCUUACUAAUUUCCAGAUUCCCAGAGCCACCCCGGGGGGCUUCAGAUUCCACAGGCCUAGGGAUGACCCAGACAUUUUUCCAAUUUUAAAGCAAGCUGUGCCACAGACUAUACUUCUCAAGAUUUGGGGACGCAAAGUUCUGAAAGUUCAGAGGAAAAAAUGAUACGGUCCCAUGACCAGAGUCUAAGACAAAAAGAUGGCUUAAGGGAGAAGUGAGGUACCCAACAAUGAAACGUUGACGAUAAAAGUGUAAAGUUAAUAUGGGUGAGUUAAAAUGCAGUGGAGGAUGUGGGGAUGUAAAUAAUGGCAUGUGGCUGAUGACACAGGAAUGAUACAACAGAGGAGAAAAGCACACAAUCAGAAACCAAUACAAAGAGGAUUGGCUUAAGAACAGUGUCAGGAGGGGUUAAAUCUGAGAAUGAGCUCAAGCUUGAGAAAAAUGCAGAGGACAAUAAAAGGAAUUGUUAACGUAUGUUUAGAGUGAAUGCAAGGAAUGAUUCACAUCCCCCUGGGGGCAGAUAUUAUAGUAUUAGCAGAUGAUAGUAAAAGAGAACAGAAACUGUUAGCAUUCUGUUCGCUCCCACCUUCCCUAUCAGAGGGAAUGAUCUUCAAACCAGGCCACAAAACAACAGAUUAAGAAGGAACUGAAGCCUGAGAGAUAGGACUAAAAGGGAGCAGCAUCUAGCUGCUUUCUUUAGGUUCCUAUCUCCAGGCCCAAAUGAACCUUAUCCAAGUUCACUGAAGGAACUGGAAGAUAUGACCAUAGAACUUUUGUGGUGCUCUCGGAGCAAGCCUGGAAGACACGGGGGAGGGCAGAAGAGUAAGCCUAGACAAACGGCGUGAGUUUUAAGGCGGGGCGAGUAAUCGGGGAGGGGAGGAGAUACAUUUUAAAAAAUAGUGGAAGAGUGAGUUUCAAGUUCCUGGAUGAAUCAUUAAAUAGACGGCUUAUAGAAACUCGAGAGAAAAAGAAUGAGAACGGGGUAAUUACUAGGGACUAAAAAGGACUCACUAAUAACAGCUUGUGCCAAACUCACCUCCUUUCUAUUUCUAAAAGAUUCACUGUAGGAGGUGAGGGAUGUUGGAAUUACUUUCAAAAGUUCAUCAGGUGAUUCCGCCAUUCAGCUAGGUAUAGGGACAUUGCUAAAUAGGCAGGAAGACCCCUCCAAAGCCAACGAUCCAGUUACAGUAUGCUUUUUUUUUUUUUUAUCAAUGACAUCACUGCAUCUAUGGCCUCUUGUUUUAUUUCUGUUUCUUCUACUUUAACCUUUCUUAAAACUUCCUAACAUUUCAACAAAAGAGGAACAUGACACCAUGGAUUCUUUUCCUUAAUCUUUAUUCUAACAA